This 145-nucleotide ribosomal RNA is filed under the name uncultured Bacillota bacterium. RNAcentral describes it as "uncultured Firmicutes bacterium partial 16S ribosomal RNA". It matches the Rfam family "Bacterial small subunit ribosomal RNA", at positions 363 to 525 of the family's 1533-position model. The record is from RNAcentral. Lineage: Bacteria; Bacillati; Bacillota.
AUUGCACAAUGGGGGAAACCCUGAUGCAGCGACGCCGCGUGAGUGAAGAAGUAUUUCGGUAUGUAAAGCUCUAUCAGCAGGGAAGAAAGUGACGGUACCUGAAUAAGAAGCCCCGGCUAACUACGUGCCAGCAGCCGCGGUAAUA